Bufo gargarizans (Asiatic toad) is the source of this 492-nucleotide long non-coding RNA. RefSeq lists it as uncharacterized. The transcript has 5 exons. The record is from RefSeq and is a predicted model, not a curated record. NCBI's taxonomy places the organism in Eukaryota, Metazoa, Chordata, Amphibia, Anura, Bufonidae.
UUCCUGGAUAUCACACUUACAGCUACAAGCCUUUGAAAGAAGAUACCAUGUCGGUGAUCACUCAGCAGCCGGGAUAUUCCCAACCGGGACUUAUGUCUCCUACUGGAGAGUGGAACAGCAACCUGUGUGACUGUUGUUCUGACUGUGGCAUCUGUCUUUUUGGACUAUGCCUCCCAUCAUGCUUCAGUUGCUAUUUAGCCAACAAGUAUGGGGAAAGUUGCCUUUUGCCCUGUGUUCCAGGAGGAAUGACUGCGAUGCGCACACACAUGCGGCUGACCUAUGGCAUUAAAGGUACUGUAUGCAAUGAUGCCCUCAUGAUGCUUUGCUGUGGAUGGUGUGAGACAUGCAGAAUGGCUCGGGAAAUGAAACGUCUGCAGCAUUAAACCUGAAGGUUGAUGAAACAUCCGAUGACAUCGCUGCCUGAUAUUCAAUGUAUUUCUUCACCAAAAUGUCAAAUUUUACCAAUAAAAACUAAAUUGUUAUUUAAACUAA